GUCGCAGUAGAUGGUGAAAAUGGAGAGGUAUCUGUUGUGGACAAUGUAGUUUCCCCUGUUUUAACACUUUCAAGUGUAGAUGAUUCUAAUGUUGACAUGCUCGUAGGGGUCAUAACUGUUGUUAAGGUUGAUUGAGCUGUCGUUGUAGAUUCAGUUUCUGUGGUAGAACUAAACUGAGUGGUUUGUGUUUGUUGGCUUGUUGUUUGCUCUGCACUGGAAGUAGGCAUUUCUGUUGUAGUAGUAAACUCUGAUGUACUUUGUCCUUCUGUUGUAGUAGAUGGUGAAAACGGAGAGGUAUCUGUUGUGGAUAAUGUAGUUUCCUCUGUUGUAACACUUUCAAGUGUAGAUGAUUCUAAUGUCGACAUGCUUAUAGAGGUCAUAACUGUUGUAAAUGCUGAUUGAGCUGUCGUUGUAGGUUCAGUUUCUGUGGUAGAACUAAACUGAGUGGUUUGAGCCUGCUGGUUUGUUGUUUUCUCUGCACUGGAAGUGGGUAUUUCUCUUGUUGAUGAAGUGAAUUCUGAUGUAUUUUGUUCUUCUGUUGUAGUAGAUGGUGAAAACGGAGAGGUACCUAUUGUGUUUAUUGUAGUUUCCAUUGUUGAACCACUUAUAAGUGAAGAUGAUUCAAAUGUGGACAUGCUCAUAGGGGUCAUAGCUGUUGUAAAUAUUGAUUGAGCUGUCGUUGUAGAUUCAGUUUCUGCGGUAGAACUAAACUGAGUUGUUUGUGCCUGCUGGCUUGUUGUUGGCUCUACACUGGAAGUAGAUAUUUUUGCUGUUGUUGAAAUCAUUUGUGAUGUACUUUGUCCGUCUGUUGUGGUAGACGGUAAGAAUGGAGAGGUACCUGUUGUGGAUAAU
Molecule: long non-coding RNA, 852 nt
Organism: Cyprinus carpio carpio
Lineage: Eukaryota; Metazoa; Chordata; Actinopteri; Cypriniformes; Cyprinidae
Source: Ensembl